GACGAACGCUGGCAGCGUGCUUAACACAUGCAAGUCGAACGGAAAGGCCUCUUUCGGGGGGUACUCGAGUGGCGAACGGGUGAGUAACACGUGAGUAACCUGCCCUUGACUUUGGGAUAACUUCAGGAAACUGGGGCUAAUACCGGAUAGGAGCUCCUGCUGCAUGGUGGGGGUUGGAAAGUUUCGGCGGUUGGGGAUGGACUCGCGGCUUAUCAGCUUGUUGGUGGGGUAGUGGCUUACCAAGGCUUUGACGGGUAGCCGGCCUGAGAGGGUGACCGGCCACAUUGGGACUGAGAUACGGCCCAGACUCCUACGGGAGGCAGCAGUGGGGAAGAUUGCACAAUGGGUGGAAGCCUGAUGCAGCAACGCCGUGUGCGGGAUGACGGCCUUCGGGUUGUAAACCGCUUUCGCUCAUGACGAAGCUUUGUGUGACGGUAGUGGGUAAAGAAGCACCGGCUAACUACGUG
This 467-nucleotide ribosomal RNA is filed under the name uncultured bacterium. RNAcentral describes it as "partial 16S ribosomal RNA". It matches the Rfam family "Bacterial small subunit ribosomal RNA", at positions 28 to 507 of the family's 1533-position model. The record is from RNAcentral.